GCCGAGGCUAAAUUUAAACAUGCUAAGGAGGCAAGGGAAAGAGAGCGAGAUGCAAAGUCUGCUAAAGGUAGAGAGCCUGAACGUAAAGAAAGAUAUGAGAAAGCAAUGGCCAAUACCCAAUAUCCAGAAGAAGAUGAAGAGAAACAAGACAUAUUGGCUCGGGAACAAGAGCAGAGGGAAAGGGACGAGAAAGAAGAGCAAAAGAGACGUCAAAA
This 215-nucleotide unclassified non-coding RNA is filed under the name Hevea brasiliensis (rubber tree). The record is from RNAcentral. Lineage: Eukaryota; Viridiplantae; Streptophyta; Magnoliopsida; Malpighiales; Euphorbiaceae.